UCUACGGGAGGCAGCAGUAGGGAAUUUUGCGCAAUGGGCGAAAGCCUGACGCAGCAACACCGCGUGAAUGUUAAGCCCUUCGGGGUGUAAAGACCUGUCAAUAGGGACGAAUUUUGACUGUACCUAUAAAGGAAGCACCGGCUAACUCCGUGCCAGCAGCCGCGGUUAUACGGGGGGUGCAAGCGUUGUCCGGAAUCAUUGGGCGUAAAGCGGUCGUAGGCGGCAAUGUAAGUCUGAUGGUAAAGCCUGGGGCUCAACUCCGGUUCGGCAUUGGAUACUAUCUAUCUUGAGUGUGGUAGAGGUAAGGGGAAUUCCUGGUGUAGCGGUGAAAUGCGUAGAUAUCAGGAGGAACAUCGGUGGCGAAAGCGGUUUACUGGACCAUUAUUGACGCUGAGGAACGAAAGCGAGGGGAGCGAAUGGGAUUAGAUACCCCUGUAGUC
This 440-nucleotide ribosomal RNA is filed under the name uncultured bacterium. RNAcentral's name for it is "partial 16S ribosomal RNA". It matches the Rfam family "Bacterial small subunit ribosomal RNA", at positions 338 to 795 of the family's 1533-position model. The record is from RNAcentral.